GGAUGUGAGGGCAAUCUGGCUGUGAGGCUGUGUCAUCUGUCACCCCAUUGAUCACCAGGGUUGAUUCCACUAAUCUGGCUGUAGAGGCAGGUGUCCCCUUCUCCCUCACUGCUCCAUGUGUGUCCCUCCUGAAGCUGCGCGACCUGGUUGAAAAGGACCCCUUUCCCUGAAUAGAGGCCGUUCUUCAGUCCAAGGUGUAAGAGUAGCUGUGCUCCCCUGCUAGAACUUCUAAACAAGCUCUCAAGAAACUCCUCACUAUGAUGGUCAGCCAGUGGCACCAGACAAGUUUGGCCUGGUAGUGAAUUGGUAGGAGCC
This 315-nucleotide small nuclear RNA is filed under the name Erinaceus europaeus (western European hedgehog). Its description in RNAcentral is "7SK RNA". It matches the Rfam family "7SK RNA", at positions 1 to 269 of the family's 331-position model. From Rfam's summary of the family: 7SK was discovered as an abundant small nuclear RNA in the mid-70s but a possible function has only recently been suggested. Two independent studies have found that 7SK RNA binds the CDK9/cyclin T complex (known as elongation factor P-TEFb). P-TEFb activates transcription by phosphorylating the C-terminal domain of RNA polymerase II. Lineage: Eukaryota; Metazoa; Chordata; Mammalia; Eulipotyphla; Erinaceidae. The record is from Rfam by way of RNAcentral.